This is a long non-coding RNA of Cryptomeria japonica (Japanese cedar), 593 nucleotides long. RefSeq lists it as uncharacterized. Lineage: Eukaryota; Viridiplantae; Streptophyta; Pinopsida; Cupressales; Cupressaceae. The transcript is spliced from 3 exons. The record is from RefSeq and is a predicted model, not a curated record.
AACAAUUAUAUCUGGAGAUCCUUUAGAGCUGGAACAAAACUACUUUACUAGACACAACAUGGGAAAAUUUCUUAUGGCUUGACAGAUAUUAAAUUAACAAUAUCUUUUCAGGCAAUUUAUAGAAACAAUUAAAUUUAUGGACUGCAAAAUGCUGGAGCAAAAGUAAACAACAGGGAUGUGCAAUAUGCUAAUAUUCACAAUGUGCCCAAGUUUCAGGCAAAAAUGCCCUCCCAGUCAAAAGUUACAGGAUUAAUCCUCUCCCAGUCGAAACUAAGCAGUUCACCCUUUCAAGAAAAAAAAUGCUAUUGUCUAGAGCUGCACCUGCAUCCUUCUACUGCUGCUGUGCUUAAAAUUCUCAGGUAAAGUCUCUAUUGGAUGCCCAGCAGAUCAAAUGAUUUGAAUCAACAGAAGAAGUGUUUUUUGAAUCAGCAACGAUGGCUUAUGUCUGGAAUAUCAACAGCAAGAUAUUCAGAUUCUCUGCCACCUCCACAAACAAUAAUUGUACUCCCAUCCCUCACAUACGAAUGCCAUCUGAUGGCUCUGAUACCUUAUUGUUAUUAUUAAAUCCAGUAACUUUUAUAUUGUAUAAUGAC